CCUACGGGUGGCUGCAGUGGGGAAUAUUGCACAAUGGGCGAAAGCCUGAUGCAGCAACGCCGCGUGAAGGAAGAAGGCCUUCUGGUCGUACACUUCUGUCCUUGGGGAGGAAGAACUUACGGUACCCAAGGUGCUACACCCGGCUAACUACUUGCAAGCAGCCGCGGCAGUGCGUAGGGGGCAUGCGGUAGCCGGAAUCAUUGGGCGUAACGAGUACGUUGGUGGUAACCUAAGCGCAGGGUUUAAGGCAAUGGCUCAACCAUUGUUCGCGCUGCGAACUGGGAGGCUUGAGUGCAGGAGAGGAAAGCGGAAUUCCUGGUGUAGCGGUGAAAUGCGUAGAUAUUAGGAGGAACACCAGUGGCGAAGGCGGCUUGCUGGACUGUAACUGACACUGAGGUACGAAAGCGUGGGGAGCAAACAGGAUUAGAUACCCUGGUAGUC
RNAcentral lists this ribosomal RNA (441 nucleotides) under uncultured bacterium. Its description in RNAcentral is "partial 16S ribosomal RNA". It matches the Rfam family "Bacterial small subunit ribosomal RNA", at positions 338 to 795 of the family's 1533-position model. The record is from RNAcentral.